Dipodomys ordii (Ord's kangaroo rat) is the source of this 515-nucleotide long non-coding RNA. RefSeq lists it as uncharacterized. The record is from RefSeq and is a predicted model, not a curated record. Lineage: Eukaryota; Metazoa; Chordata; Mammalia; Rodentia; Heteromyidae. The transcript has 2 exons.
CAUCUGGCCCGCAGGAGCUGGGGGUCUCCUUCGGGGAGUGCAGCGCUGCACUGGGACACAACAUCCUGGAACCCAUGGUGAGCCUGGCCCGGUUGCUGAAGGUGCAGGAGGACCGGCUGAGGGGCUCGCUGGUGAAGGUGGCCCCCGGGGGGCCCCCCAAGAAAGGCCGCUGCUGCUUCUGACCCCCCCAUCACGCCUUGGGGCUCCCUGAUCUCAGCUCUGCCGCCCUUCUGAGUCCAGUGAGGGCAGGCAGGACAGGCCCCCGGAAUCCCGGCCGAGAUCUCGGGCAGGGGUGCGUGGCUGCGGCCUUGUGCCAGCCAGGGAGGACUUCACUGAGCAAAUAAGGCUGGGAGUGAGGAUGGGCUUGGGGAGGUGUGGGUGGUAAAUUCUCCAGGAAAGGAAAAGCCUAGAAAAACAACAGAAGGGAAAUAAACCAAAUGACUGCCGCACGUACAAUUAUCGGGUGAAGGUGGGUGAUCUCUUCCUUUGUGCUUAUUAAAAAAAUGUUCUGCUUU